GAUCCUAGCUCAGAUUGAACGCUGGCGGCGUGCUUAACACAUGCAAGUCGUACGCGAAAGGGACUUCGGUCCCGAGUAAAGUGGCGCACGGGUGAGUAACACGUGGAUGAUCUGCCUCUAUGAUGGGGAUAACAGUUGGAAACGACUGCUAAUACCGAAUACGCUCACGAUGAACGUUGUGAGGAAAGGUGGCCUCUGCUUGCAAGCUAUCGCAUAGAGAUGAGUCCGCG
This 230-nucleotide ribosomal RNA is filed under the name uncultured bacterium. Its description in RNAcentral is "partial 16S ribosomal RNA". It matches the Rfam family "Bacterial small subunit ribosomal RNA", at positions 15 to 235 of the family's 1533-position model. The record is from RNAcentral.